Molecule: long non-coding RNA, 677 nt
Organism: Mastomys coucha (southern multimammate mouse)
Lineage: Eukaryota; Metazoa; Chordata; Mammalia; Rodentia; Muridae
Exons: 2
Source: RefSeq, a predicted model, not a curated record
GGGCUGGAUGGGGUGCACCGGCUGGAACACCGCCUUCUUCCUCACAUCCGAGUGUGCCUUUACUGCAGGGAGCAGCUGGUUCCGCUUGAUCAUCUGCAAGGCCAGCUGCGUGUUACCUGGAAAAACACAGUCCAUCAAGGAGAACCAGGGAGAUGGCAGAUACACCAAACCUCUCGAGCACUUUGAAGGUCAACACGCUGAAGAGACUCCCUCACCGUUCUGCAGUUCCAGGUAGACAGCCAGCAGGACAGCCUCAGGGGGCACCUCUUUAGGAUGGGUCAUCGAUGCGGCCUUGCCCAUGAGAGACACCAGAGAGAAACAACAGUUUAAGAUCCAACUCCAAGUUUCACAACAGACACAAAGCCCCCAGAGACAUUGUCCAUGAGACGCUGGCAAGCUGACUCCAGAGUCCUGUUCUCAGGACCCCUUGGCGCCCAUACUGUCUCCCCGCUGCCUUUGCUUUCACAGUGUCUCAUCCUGUAGCCCAGGAUGGCCUCACACUGAGUGUCCUGUGCUUGGAGCUACUGUGCUUGGCUAUUUGUGGCCAGAAGGGGAUGACAGGUCUUCAAUACAGAGUGAUGUCUCUGCCUCAUACCUGGGUACAGGAACACGACGCCUCACUCAGCAUGGCCUUUCCUGGAAGCCUACCGACUAUUAAACUCACGGUGUAUUUCUCU